CAGAGUUCGUGCCCUUAACGGGUAGAUCUCCCACCCUGUGUUGUCAUUUACCUUUGUUGCUUUGGCGGGCCGUCAGGCCUCUCGGUCAGGCUACCGGCUUGACGGCUGGUAAGCGCCCGCCAGAGGACUCCAAACCCUGAAUGUCAGUGUUGUCUGAGUCUUUAUAAAAUUUUA
RNAcentral lists this unclassified non-coding RNA (174 nucleotides) under uncultured Helotiales. RNAcentral describes it as "sequence contains ITS1". The record is from RNAcentral. Lineage: Eukaryota; Fungi; Ascomycota; Leotiomycetes; Helotiales.